RNAcentral lists this ribosomal RNA (253 nucleotides) under uncultured bacterium. RNAcentral describes it as "partial 16S ribosomal RNA". It matches the Rfam family "Bacterial small subunit ribosomal RNA", at positions 524 to 776 of the family's 1533-position model. The record is from RNAcentral.
GACGAACCGUGCGAACGUUGUUCGGAAUCACUGGGCUUAAAGGGCGCGUAGGCGGGUUCUCAAGUCAGGGGUGAAAUCUUUCGGCUUAACCGGAAAAGUGCCCCUGAUACUGAGAGUCUCGAGGGAGGUAGGGGCAUGUGGAACUAAUGGUGGAGCGGUGAAAUGCGUAGAUAUCAAGCGGAACACCAGUGGCGAAGGCGAGUCCCUGGACAACUCCUGACACUGAGGCACGAAAGCUAGGGGAGCAAACAGG